This 253-nucleotide ribosomal RNA is filed under the name uncultured bacterium. RNAcentral's name for it is "partial 16S ribosomal RNA". It matches the Rfam family "Bacterial small subunit ribosomal RNA", at positions 524 to 776 of the family's 1533-position model. The record is from RNAcentral.
UACAGAGGGUGCGAGCGUUAAUCGGAAUUACUGGGCGUAAAGCGCGCGUAGGUGGCAAAUUAAGUCGGAUGUGAAAUCCCCGAGCUCAACUUGGGAAUUGCAUCCGAUACUGGUUAGCUAGAGUAUGAGAGAGGAAGGUAGAAUUCCAGGUGUAGCGGUGAAAUGCGUAGAGAUCUGGAGGAAUACCGAUGGCGAAGGCAGCCUUCUGGCUUAAUACUGACGCUGAGGUGCGAAAGCAUGGGGAGCAAACAGG